UGCGAUUUAGUCGCUGCAUAUUUUGCAUAAAAAAAACGAGGACACGUUGCACCGUUGAGAGGCCCUUCCGUUACUGAUCUUUAUUCUGUGGUAAAGCCAAUGUCUAUGGAAGCCCAAAGUUGUUUGCUAAUUUAAUUACAACUCUAUAUUCACGCUGUGUAUCGAAUAUUAGGACACUUUCCUCUAUUUUUAUCAUUUUUACGGUAAGUGUUGCUAGAACAUAUAUAUUACGCUCCCCUUCACUAAAUAAAGAUGCCUAGUGGAUUUUGUAAAUAUAUAUAUAUAUAUAUAUAUAUAUAUAUAUAUAUAUAUAUAUAUAUAUAUAUAUAUAUAUAUAUAUAUAUAUAUAUAUAUAUAUUUAUAUAUUCAACAGGCUGUUGUGCAUCAUAAGCGUAGCUAAACAGUUCGAUUUUUACAUAGGAAGAAAGAGCUGUUAUUUAGCUUUUCUAUGACACCUUGGUGUUUAUGUUUCGUUUUCGAUGCAAUUCCCAAGAAUGUGAUUUCGACCAGCAAUUUUUAUUUGAUGAGUAUGUGGCCAUUUCUCAUCGUUACGACUUAAAAAGAGUAUCAUUGAAAAGCUAAAUAACUGUUCUUUCUUCCUAUGUAAAAAUUGAAUUGUUUAGCCUCGUUUAUGAUGAACGACAGCCUGUUUAAUUUCCGUAGCGUUUUUUUUCAGACACCCUGUAUAUAUAUAUAUAUAUAUAUAUAUAUAUAUAUAUGUAUAUAUAUAUAUAUAUAUAUAUAUAUAUAUAUAUAUAUAUAUAUAUAUAUAUAUAUAUAUAUAUAUAUAUAUAUAUAUAUAUAUAUAUAUAUAUAUAUAUAUAUAUAUAUAUAUAUAUAUAUAUAUAUAUAUUACUAGACGCAUUGGAGUCAUCUAAGAAUAAAACAAGAUUUCAUCGUCUUUAGAAACCCGAGGAGUUGUUCCCUACGUUAUUGAAGAAAACUCGGCUUUGAAAAAGCUAUAACACUAUCGUGUUGUGAAUUAGCACUUGUUUUUUUCUCUUUUCACUUUGUAUACGGUAAGUGUCAAUUCAGAUUUUUAGUGUUUUUAGUAUUUCGAUUUGAUUUCGCCAAAUUAAAGUUGAUUAAUAAAAUGUAUUAUAUUGAUAUUAUCAUUGAAUUUACCCCUUAACGAGUAAAAUCGUCUGGCAUUCGACAGACUAUACCGAUAGGAUGAAAGCCGUGCAAUGCAACUUAAUCGGUUAACGAGACACAUGCCAUGGGCAGAUAUUACUUUGAUGAACCCAUUGAGCUAGCUGGUGCGCUCUCAUCUUGACGAGUAUACAAUCGUCUGGCAUUAAACAAAGACAUGCAGUACGUAAAAUAAUAAAGUAUAUAGGGCCCUUUGCAACUUAAUCAAAUAAUUUAUUGCAGAUCGAAUUAGAGACUAUCGGAUCCACAUUAUCAGUUCUCCUGUCAAUUUAAAUCUCGGCAGGGUUCAGGGACUGGAUUUAGAAAAGUUUUGAACUAAGACUUAACUUAAGGCCGUUCUUCAUCCGUGCGUAUACAGUUAUUUCAAUUAAAGUUGUCCAUGCAUACACGAGCAAAGCGGAAAAGUCGAAUAUGAGCGGAAAAGUCGAAUACGAGCGCGGAAAAGUCGAAUACGAGCGCGAAAGGCUGCUGGGAAUCGCUAAUAAAUUCCUGGGAAUCGCUAAUAAAUUCAUUCAUUUAUUAGCGAUUCCCAGCAUGCAGCCUUUCGCGCUCGUAUUCGACUUUUUCGCUUUGCUCGGGGGACAACCUUGAUUGAAAUAGCUGUACACGCACGGAAAAGUUUAAAUCCAUGCAAUUAGAGUUUCUUGUGAAAUAACUAAUUGAAUAAAACCAUAGCAUCUAGACGGUAUAGGCCUAUAUAUACCAGUCACCUUUGAGCGCGAUGUUAUAGUUAAUGUUAUCAUACUUUAAUAUAUAAUCUUCGUUCACUGUACAAAAUACACGCACGCCAUUGGUCAAAAUCGAUCACGUGUGUUUUUGUUACCUGGCAACAACGAAUUCGGCGAGUGCACUAUUGACAAUAACGCAUAAAAAACGUGCAUUAUUGAAAAUGGCUUCCCGCAAGGCUGUCGGUUCAAGGUUUACACGAGUCAGUGAAGACGAAAUUAAAUCAAAUUGUACAUAAUGCAGUGUCUAAAAGUAUAAAAAGCCAAACAAACUGGUGCAACAAGGUAAAUAAACGAAGCAAAAGCUGACUUUUCACGAUUUUGUCGCGUGUAAAAUUCCUGCUUAAAAAGUUUAGUUGGGUUUUUCAUUGUAUUCGCUGUCUUGUUUUAAAAACAGUUGUACGCAAUUAUUUUGCAAUGUACUUAAAAUUAGACUAUUGGCAAAAACUUAUGAUGAAAAUGUGUUAGUAAAUGUUCUUUUCCAAACUGGAAUUGCUUUGUUUUAAUUUAAUUUAAUUUUGUUUUGUUUUGUCUACAAAAGGCGUACAGUAAUUGCAUGCAAGCAGUGAACUCAAAUAAUAUAUUAAAUGGGUUAGAGACUUUAAGUUCGUGUUUUGUUUACAAAUACAUGCACUUGCUGACUGUACAAUGAACUCGAAAUUUUCAAUACUGCACUCGGCUUCGCCUCGUUCAGAAUUGAAAAUUUCUCGUUCAUUGUACAGUCAGCUCGUGCAUGUAUUUGUAAACAAAACACUCACAUCAGUCUCUAACCCUUAAAUAACAAAGUAUUUCUUCUCUGUCAAUAACAAUGACAGAGUUACCGCUCAAACUUACCUCAGUUUUCCCCAAGUGUCAGCACUUCUGAACUGUCGACUUCAUCUGCUGCCCUGUGAAGCCUCCAAGAGAAUUAACCCAACAAUAGCGUGAUUUCAUCAUUUUCAUUCUUUCCACUUUCUAUAGAAACAAAUUAGAAUAUUCAUAUACAUAACAUGGACGGUGGAUCUUACCCGAUGCAAAACAAAUCUCGGCAAGUACAGGGCGGCCAUAUGCCUUCAGCACCACCGGAUUACGUGGCGAGUGUACACCAACCAGCGGAAGGAAUUAUACAAGCGCCCGUGAUACCAUACAACAACGCGUAUGUCGAGCAGCCGAGUGGCGACACAGUUGUUCUUAUAGUAAGCACAAUAGACAAUUCCCAUUAAAGACUAAUUUUAAAACUAGGCAAGGAGAUGCAAAUAAAUCCGGCACCAGAGCUAGAAAGAGCAUACGAAAACGAGUACCAUUUUCAAAUAAAGUACCAUUUUCGGCCCAAUUGUGGUAGCAAUUUCCGCAUGCACGUAUAUAAUACAAAAGUAUACAAAAUUUGCAAACUUUGCAAGGCUAUAUUAUCCACAUUUUACAACAUUUCGCAGUCCAACAUUGCAAUUUUACUCAUUUUAGUACGCUCUUUCUAGCUGUAGUGGUUUAUUUGCAGAAUAUUGCAGUUAUAGUUUUUUCAAUUAAAAGGGCUGAAAUGCGCCUUAAAAACCAUCAAUCAAAAGCUUUUUGCGUUUCUCCAAAUUGGUGAAUACUAACCGUAACCAUGCACGAAAUGUUUUUCUUUCACAAAAUAAUUUAAAUUUAUGUUGCUUUGCAGCCCUCACAAGCAACAGCUGGAUAUAUCAGAGACCAUAUGGGUCUAUCAAUUUGUACCUGUCUCUGUUGCUUUCCGCCUGUUGGAAUCGUCGCAAUUGUGUUGUCAUGCAUGGU
Molecule: long non-coding RNA, 3626 nt
Filed under: Paramuricea clavata
Lineage: Eukaryota; Metazoa; Cnidaria; Anthozoa; Malacalcyonacea; Plexauridae
Source: RNAcentral